CUCAUGAUUUUUUGCAAAUCUGAAAUUGUUCUAAAAAAGGCAAUCGAUUAAAAAAAGAAGACACUCCCUCAGACCCCUCAAAAUGCCCCCGACCUAGUCCAGGGCCUUCCUGGCACAGAUGAAGGCAGUACAGUGAAGGUGUCAUAAUCAUGGGUUCUGCGGGCGGGAGAUGUGGGUUCCAGCCCUGACUCUGUUGCUCUGCUGUGUCCCGAGGCAACUGACUUCCCCUCCCUGAGCCCUCAUCUCAUUGUGGGUCAAAAGGGGUGAGAAUAACACAGUCACAGGGGUGUUGUAGAGACCAAAGUGGGGACUUCAAGGAGCGUGGCCAGGCUAGUGAUGCUGCACCCAGGGGUCGGGAACGCAUCCAAGGGCACGGAUGACGCAAGCCGUUUCCACCCACCUCAGGGCCACCCCGAGUCAGCACACGUCUUUUGAACAGAUCCACAUACAGAAAUGGCCUGGAUGACACGAUGCCCUUGCCGAGUGAAGGAAAUGCCAGAGUUGACACUGAGUCACCGGGCUGUGUCACUGGACUCCAAGAGAGAUGGCGUAUUUGCGAUCUCCCUGUGACAAGGCCAUCCUCGAAGAGAAAUGCGGGGCUGCCUUGAUUGACCACCGUAACAUGGCAGGACGUCUGGGCAUGGUUGGUGACAUACCUUCCUUGGUGGAGACUGGCUAAUGUGAAGGCAAUGACCUCCAUCACACAUUUCAGAAGAACUUACCCUUGCCUCUUUCUCCGACCUGGAGAACCAAGAUGAUUCUAAGUGCUAGCCUUUUAAAACCAGAUUCCUAUACCCUCAUCACUCACCAAAAAUUCCCCAUUCUCACGCUCCUAAAUGGUCCCUCUAACUCUGAAGGACCCAGAAAGCAUAUUUGCCCCCUGCAACCCCUGCCCAUCUCUCUCAGCCUAGAGGAGAGAUAGCAGAUAUAUUUCAGAUAGGCUGAUUUUUUUUUUAAUCAAAAGGAAAUUAAAGAACAGGGAAUGAUGUACAUUUCUUAUGGGGAGAGCGGGAGUCUUAUUCCUUGCCUGUCUUAAAAUAGCCUGAUGGAACGCAAUAUUUGCAUUAUGCUCAGGGUCAGCUGCUCUGGGGACUGCAGCCCAGGCCUGCCUGGAGAAGGGAGCGAGGGGCUGAGUUUUGAGAUUUACUGCAUUAAUGCUUCUCUAGUUUCUGCGGAGUAGCCACUGGAGAGAGGCUUGGCUGCCGAGGCAGUGAAAGAAACACAUGCAGAAACGCAGUAUCAAUAACUAAAUAUAACUCACAUCUGAAAUGCCUUUCACUGCACCCGGAGUGCUUUCCAAAUAUAUUAUCUCAUUAAAUCCACACAGAAGCAGAGGGAGGUAGGGUCCUCGCUCCCUCCUCUUAUGAGGGAGUGGAGAUUCAAAGCCCAGGGUUUGUGACUGCAUGUGGCGUGUCCUUUCAUCUGCAUCUGCGGUCUUGCACGCGGGCUUUGCAGAGGACCAGCAGGGAUGGGCGAAGGCAAUGCCAGCUGCUGUAACAAGCCGACCCCCAAAUACCUACAACUUCACACCAUCGGCAUUUAUUUCUUACUAUGUGAAAUCCCAAAGGGGUGUUGCAGAUCGUCAGGCUUCUGCACGAUCAUCUGGGGACCCCAGCUCCUUCCAGCUUUUGACUCACCUCUUAGCCUCAGCAUCCUCUGCAUUUAGCCUAUAGAUGGGGCAGGGCUUUAUGAGCCGGGCCUGGAAAAACCCCUCCCCCAUCUUCCAACUACAUUCAUUGGAUGGAGCUCAGUCACAUGGCUACAGCUACCUGCAAAGCAGACUGGGAAAUGUAGUCUAGCUGUGAAGUAGGAGAAAGAGGAAGGGAUGUGGUGAAGAGCCAGCCAAUUUCGAGCGACCCUCCACUCCCACUUCCUGCUCCAAGCAAGGCAGCUCCAAUUCUAUUUUAUAUAUUGCAUUCUACAUCAGAUUGAGUUUGAAGAAAGCACUCCAGGACUUGAAAAAAUGUGUCAAGAUUCUAGAUCAGUGGUCCUUAGACAGGGCUGGUUAUUUGGACUGCUAGGGUAGGUUGUGAAAAACAUAGAUUCCUGGGUUGCUUCUUUGGUGAUUCUGAUUCUGUAAAUACAGGGUCUGCUGUAGGCUCCACCAGUGUAUAUGUUGAACUUCAUCACUUGCUUUUGAAAACCCAUAAACAGUUUGGUGAAGAAUGCAGAUGGUGGAUGGUCAUGGUGAUUACAAAUUAGGGAAGAGCAAAAAGUGCUGGUGAGGACGUGGAGAGACAAGAGCUUGAUGUGCAACCACUCAUCUAGAAAAGUUGAAGCUGGGGCACCUGGAGGGGUUUGGCUGAGUGGUUGAGAGU
Molecule: long non-coding RNA, 2318 nt
Organism: Canis lupus familiaris (dog)
Lineage: Eukaryota; Metazoa; Chordata; Mammalia; Carnivora; Canidae
Exons: 3
Source: RefSeq, a predicted model, not a curated record